UGACCUCAAAUCAGGUAGGACUACCCGCUGAACUUAAGCAUAUCAAUAAGCGGAGGAAAAGAAACUAACAAGGAUUCCCCUAGUAACUGCGAGUGAAGCGGGAAAAGCUCAAAUUUAAAAUCUGGCAGUCUCUCUGGCUGUCCGAGUUGUAAUCUAGAGAAGCGUUAUCCGCGCUGGACCGUGUACAAGUCUCCUGGAAUGGAGCGUCAUAGAGGGUGAGAAUCCCGUCUUUGACACGGACUGCCAGGGCUUUUGUGAUGCGCUCUCAAAGAGUCGAGUUGUUUGGGAAUGCAGCUCAAAAUGGGUGGUAAAUUCCAUCUAAAGCUAAAUAUUGGCGAGAGACCGAUAGCGAACAAGUACCGUGAGGGAAAGAUGAAAAGAACUUUGGAAAGAGAGUUAAACAGUACGUGAAAUUGCUGAAAGGGAAACGCUUGAAGUCAGUCGCGUUGGCCAGGGAUCAACCUUGCUUUUCCUUGGUGUACUUUCUGGUUGACGGGUCAGCAUCAAUUUUGACUAUUGGAAAAAAGUCAGGGGAAUGUGGCAUCUUAGGAUGUGUUAUAGCCCUUGGUUGUAUACAAUGGUUGGGAUUGAGGAACUCAGCACGCCGCAAGGCCGGGUUUUUUAACCACGUACGUGCUUAGGAUGC
This 646-nucleotide ribosomal RNA is filed under the name Thaxterogaster variegatus. RNAcentral describes it as "eukaryotic LSU rRNA". It matches the Rfam family "Eukaryotic large subunit ribosomal RNA", at positions 1 to 626 of the family's 3401-position model. The record is from RNAcentral. Lineage: Eukaryota; Fungi; Basidiomycota; Agaricomycetes; Agaricales; Cortinariaceae.